CCUGGAACAAGUGAUGACUAUUUUUUUCCCCAGCUUAUCGAAAAUGCUGAUACAAUGCUGUGUUUUUAUAGCCAGAACUUUCUGAUGUUCCAAG
Molecule: small nucleolar RNA, 94 nt
Organism: Dendronephthya gigantea
Lineage: Eukaryota; Metazoa; Cnidaria; Anthozoa; Malacalcyonacea; Nephtheidae
Product: small nucleolar SNORD12/SNORD106
Exons: 1
Source: RefSeq, a predicted model, not a curated record